This 449-nucleotide ribosomal RNA is filed under the name uncultured bacterium. RNAcentral's name for it is "bacterial SSU rRNA". It matches the Rfam family "Bacterial small subunit ribosomal RNA", at positions 30 to 521 of the family's 1533-position model. The record is from RNAcentral.
AUUGAACGCUGGCGGCAUGCUUUACACAUGCAAGUCGAACGGGUGCAGCAAUGCAUCAGUGGCAGACGGGUGAGUAACACGUGGGAACCUUCCUAGGGGUACGGAACAACUCAGGGAAACUUGAGCUAAUACCGUAUACGUCCGUAAGGAGAAAGAUUCAUCGCCCCUAGACGGGCCCGCGUCGGAUUAGGUAGUUGGUGGGGUAACGGCCUACCAAGCCUACGAUCCGUAGCUGAUCNGAGAGGAUGAUCAGCCACACUGGGACUGAGACACGGCCCAGACUCCUACGGGAGGCAGCAGUGGGGAAUCUUGGACAAUGGGCGCAAGCCUGAUCCAGCCAUGCCGCGUGAGUGAAGAAGGCCUUAGGGUUGUAAAGCUCUUUUACCAGGGACGAUAAUGACGGUACCUGGAGAAUAAGCCCCGGCAAACUUCGUGACAGCCGCCGCCGU